RNAcentral lists this ribosomal RNA (468 nucleotides) under uncultured bacterium. Its description in RNAcentral is "partial 16S ribosomal RNA". It matches the Rfam family "Bacterial small subunit ribosomal RNA", at positions 28 to 507 of the family's 1533-position model. The record is from RNAcentral.
GACGAACGCUGGCGGCGUGCUUAACACAUGCAAGUCGAACGGAAAGGCCCUGCUUUUGUUGGGUGCUCGAGUGGCGAACGGGUGAGUAACACGUGAGUAACCUGCCCUUGACUUUGGGAUAACUCCUGGAAACUGGGGCUAAUACCGGAUAGGAGCUCCUGCUGCAUGGUGGGGGUUGGAAAGUUUCGGCGGUUGUGGCUCGACUCGCGGCUUAUCAGCUUGUUGGUGGGGUAGUGGAGUACAAAGGCUUUGACGGGUAGCCGGCCUGAGAGGGUGAACGGCGACAAUGGUCCUGAGAGACGGCGCAGACGGGUACGGGACGCAGCAGUGGGGAAUAUUGCGCAAUGGGCGGAAGCCUGAUGCGGCAACGCCGCGUGCGUGAUGCCGGCCUACGGGUGGUAAACCGAUGUCGACUGUGCCGAACCGUGCGUGACGGUACUUGGUAAAGAAGCACCGCCUAACUACGUG